Molecule: microRNA, 21 nt
Filed under: Picea abies (Norway spruce)
Lineage: Eukaryota; Viridiplantae; Streptophyta; Pinopsida; Pinales; Pinaceae
Description: pab-miR166j
Gene: pab-miR166j
Source: miRBase by way of RNAcentral
CCGGACCAGGCUUCAUUCCCC